ACGCUGGCGGCAGGCCUAACACAUGCAAGUCGAGCGGUAACACAGGAGAGCUUGCUCUCUGGGUGACGAGCGGCGGACGGGUGAGUAAUGUCUGGGAAACUGCCUGAUGGAGGGGGAUAACUACUGGAAACGGUAGCUAAUACCGCAUGACCUCGCAAGAGCAAAGUGGGGGACCUUCGGGCCUCACGCCAUCGGAUGUGCCCAGAUGGGAUUAGCUAGUAGGUGAGGUAAUGGCUCACCUAGGCGACGAUCCCUAGCUGGUCUGAGAGGAUGACCAGCCACACUGGAACUGAGACACGGUCCAGACUCCUACGGGAGGCAGCAGUGGGGAAUAUUGCACAAUGGGCGCAAGCCUGAUGCAGCCAUGCCGCGUGUGUGAAGAAGGCCUUCGGGUUGUAAAGCACUUUCAGCGAGGAGGAAGGCGUUGUAGUUAAUAGCUGCAACGAUUGACGUUACUCGCAGAAGAAGCACCGGCUAACUCCGUGCCAGCAGCCGCGGUAAUACGGAGGGUGCAAGCGUUAAUCGGAAUUACUGGGCGUAAAGCGCACGCAGGCGGUUUGUUAAGUCAGAUGUGAAAUCCCCGAGCUUAACUUGGGAACUGCAUUUGAAACUGGCAAGCUAGAGUCUUGUAGAGGGGGGUAGAAUUCCAGGUGUAGCGGUGAAAUGCGUAGAGAUCUGGAGGAAUACCGGUGGCGAAGGCGGCCCCCUGGACAAAGACUGACGCUCAGGUGCGAAAGCGUGGGGAGCAAAC
RNAcentral lists this ribosomal RNA (751 nucleotides) under uncultured bacterium. RNAcentral describes it as "bacterial SSU rRNA". It matches the Rfam family "Bacterial small subunit ribosomal RNA", at positions 33 to 773 of the family's 1533-position model. The record is from RNAcentral.